Vombatus ursinus (common wombat) is the source of this 107-nucleotide small nuclear RNA. The record is from Ensembl. NCBI's taxonomy places the organism in Eukaryota, Metazoa, Chordata, Mammalia, Diprotodontia, Vombatidae.
GUACUUGCUUCGGCAGCACAUAUCCUAAAAUUGGAACGAUACAGAGAUGAUUAGCAUGUCCCCUGCACAAGGAGGACACACCAAUUCGUGAAAUGUUGCGUUUUUUU